GAUGAACGCUAGCGGCAGGCCUAACACAUGCAAGUCGAGGGGCAGCACAGAAACAGCAAUGUUUUGGUGGCGACCGGCGGACGGGUGCGUAACGCGUAUACAACCUACCUUUAACAGGGGGAUAACGGAGAGAAAUUUCCACUAAUACCCCAUAACAUCGAUCAAGGCAUCUUGAUUGGUUGAUAACUCCGGUGGUUAAAGAUGGGCAUGCGUAGUAUUAGGUAGUUGGUGAGGUAAUGGCUCACCAAGCCUACGAUACAUAGGGGGACUGAGAGGUUAGCCCCCCACACUGGUACUGAGACACGGACCAGACUCCUACGGGAGGCAGCAGUGAGGAAUAUUGGUCAAUGGGGGCAACCCUGAACCAGCCAUGCCGCGUGCAGGAAGACAGCUCUAUGAGUUGUAAACUGCUUUUAAACAGGGAUAAAGCACAGUAUGUAUACUGUGUUGAAGGUACUGUAAGAAUAAGGAUCGGCUAACUCCGUGCCAGCCGCCGCAGUAA
RNAcentral lists this ribosomal RNA (502 nucleotides) under uncultured bacterium. Its description in RNAcentral is "partial 16S ribosomal RNA". It matches the Rfam family "Bacterial small subunit ribosomal RNA", at positions 28 to 523 of the family's 1533-position model. The record is from RNAcentral.